GAAGAGACUUGGCGCGGCUAUCCCAGAAGCCAGAACAGCAAGAGGGAUCGCUGCUUUCGCGAUCCCUCUUGCUGUUCUGACUGCUUCGCUGGAGAAGCGCUGUGCAGAGGGGGAGAGAAUAUUUUUUUUCUUGUUCUCCUCCUCUAAAACUAUGGUCUUA
This is a non-coding RNA of Podarcis lilfordi (Lilford's wall lizard), 160 nucleotides long. The record is from the annotation of a GenBank genome assembly. Lineage: Eukaryota; Metazoa; Chordata; Lepidosauria; Squamata; Lacertidae.